UUGGAAUUUAUUGAUCUGCAUAUUGUUGUUUCCUCUGUAGAAAUGUAGGUGUAUGACGCACUGGAGCUCGCUGGACGUCCCCCCACCUUCCUGGCCCCCCAGAAUGUUUCUCUGCUUGCUGUCUCUCGCACUUCUAACUGGAGGUUCCAAAGCUGAAGUCAUUCCUUGUAAGGAGCCUAAUGUUACCUUGUUAUUUGUGGUCACUUGGUAACCCCACAUACACACAGAUAUCUUACUGCCCCAAAGAAGUAGGGUACAUACAGGAGAAAAUUCACAUUCCCAAUACAAAGGAUAAUUUUAGAAGAAACAAAAAAGAACAAGUUACAUACAUACAUAUCAGACAGAUGGACAGACAGAACAGGAAGACAAAAAAGACAAGGAAAAGGCAGACGGAUACAAGCAAUGCAGGAAGAUAGACAGAUAAUAAACACAGACAAAGUUGGCAGACAGACACAGCAAGCAGACAGAGAGACACAGACAUAUCAGGCAGUCAUAGCAACAUGUAUACUGUAGGCACACAGACAGAGCAUGCAGACAGUCAGAGUGAUAGACAAAGCAGGCAGUCAGAGCGACGCAAACAAAAGAAGCAGACAGACACAGACAAAUCAGGGAGAAACGAUGCAGACAGGGAGAUACAAAUAGAUCAGACAGUCGGUCGGAGCAACACAGGCAAAGUAGACAGUCACAAUGCAGGCAGACAGAGAUGGACAGACAAGACAGGUAAAUUGAUAGUAACAGACAUAGCAGAUAGAAACACAGGCACACACACAGAGAUGUUUUCUGGCCUUUCUGUUACAAACCGGGCUCCCUAUAAAAAUGUACAUACAAAUAACCUUGCGUUGCUCCAAAAAAACUCUCUCUUUAAUAAUUGCCCAUCCUUGUACCUUCAGCAAUAUGUCGAUACGCUCUGGGAAUGCACGACAGGACAAUACGCGAUGAGGAUAUUACUGCAUCCAGUCAAUGGUAUGAGUCAACUGGACCGCAGUACGCAAGGUAUAAUAGCAUGCGGUAAACAAACAGAUUGUUGUCAAAGAAUGGGAAAUUCAUUCUCAUAUGAGCAGAUUCAAUCCUUGGUCUAAUCUUUCCUUCUGUGUUGUGUCUGUGUGUGUACAUAUUAAUGUAUUUAUAAUAUAUGUCUGUAUGUAUGUAUAUUUAAGGCCCGCGUGUGCCAUAGUCCUGCUAUGUAUUCACUGAAGCUGUAGGUGACUGGUAUCACCCAGAACUGUUAUAAUGUUAAUAACGCUGGAUACAAUGUAUUUGUGGUAAUAUUCUGUUUCCACAGACUGCAAAGGGAGGAAGGCGAUGGAGCAUGGUGCCCAGCUGGUCUGCUACAGCCAGAGGACGUGCAAUUCCUGCAGAUCGAUCUCCACAAGCUAUUCUUUGUCACACUUAUUGGAACCCAAGGACGUCACGCAAGGGCCACCGGCAAGGAAUUUGCCCGGUCCUACAGAGUAGACUAUAGUCGAAAUGGAGAGCAGUGGCUUUCUUGGAAGGACCACCAAGGCCACCAGGU
Non-coding RNA from Pelobates cultripes (western spadefoot toad), 1513 nucleotides. Lineage: Eukaryota; Metazoa; Chordata; Amphibia; Anura; Pelobatidae. The record is from the annotation of a GenBank genome assembly.